This 207-nucleotide small RNA is filed under the name Macaca fascicularis (crab-eating macaque). Its description in RNAcentral is "Metazoan signal recognition particle RNA (ENSMFAG00000059528.1)". It matches the Rfam family "Metazoan signal recognition particle RNA", at positions 68 to 274 of the family's 299-position model. Rfam says of the family: The signal recognition particle (SRP) is a universally conserved ribonucleoprotein. It is involved in the co-translational targeting of proteins to membranes. Lineage: Eukaryota; Metazoa; Chordata; Mammalia; Primates; Cercopithecidae. The record is from Rfam by way of RNAcentral.
AAGAGACCUUUAAGACAGCUGGUCAUUAUGCCGACCGGGUGUCCGCGCUAAGUUUGGUAUCAAUAUGGUGACCUCCUGGGACCAGGAGGCCAUCAGGUUGCCUAAGGAUGGGAGAACUGGCCCAGGUCAGAAAGGGACCAGGUCAGGUCUCCCGCACCAAUCGGUAGUGGGACUGUGCCUGGGCAGUAUAGCAAGAUCUUGGUUCUU